Molecule: ribosomal RNA, 1310 nt
Filed under: Salmonella enterica
Lineage: Bacteria; Pseudomonadati; Pseudomonadota; Gammaproteobacteria; Enterobacterales; Enterobacteriaceae
Also listed under: 2 other names
Description: partial 23S ribosomal RNA
Rfam family: Bacterial large subunit ribosomal RNA
Source: RNAcentral
CAAAUCGUACCCCAAACCGACACAGGUGGUCAGGUAGAGAAUACCAAGGCGCUUGAGAGAACUCGGGUGAAGGAACUAGGCAAAAUGGUGCCGUAACUUCGGGAGAAGGCACGCUGACACGUAGGUGAAGUGAUUUACUCAUGGAGCUGAAGUCAGUCGAAGAUACCAGCUGGCUGCAACUGUUUAUUAAAAACACAGCACUGUGCAAACACGAAAGUGGACGUAUACGGUGUGACGCCUGCCCGGUGCCGGAAGGUUAAUUGAUGGGGUCAGCGCAAGCGAAGCUCCUGAUCGAAGCCCCGGUAAACGGCGGCCGUAACUAUAACGGUCCUAAGGUAGCGAAAUUCCUUGUCGGGUAAGUUCCGACCUGCACGAAUGGCGUAAUGAUGGCCAGGCUGUCUCCACCCGAGACUCAGUGAAAUUGAACUCGCUGUGAAGAUGCAGUGUACCCGCGGCAAGACGGAAAGACCCCGUGAACCUUUACUAUAGCUUGACACUGAACAUUGAGCCUUGAUGUGUAGGAUAGGUGGGAGGCUUUGAAGUGUGGACGCCAGUCUGCAUGGAGCCGACCUUGAAAUACCACCCUUUAAUGUUUGAUGUUCUAACGUGGACCCGUAAUCCGGGUUGCGGACAGUGUCUGGUGGGUAGUUUGACUGGGGCGGUCUCCUCCUAAAGAGUAACGGAGGAGCACGAAGGUUGGCUAAUCCUGGUCGGACAUCAGGAGGUUAGUGCAAUGGCAUAAGCCAGCUUGACUGCGAGCGUGACGGCGCGAGCAGGUGCGAAAGCAGGUCAUAGUGAUCCGGUGGUUCUGAAUGGAAGGGCCAUCGCUCAACGGAUAAAAGGUACUCCGGGGAUAACAGGCUGAUACCGCCCAAGAGUUCAUAUCGACGGCGGUGUUUGGCACCUCGAUGUCGGCUCAUCACAUCCUGGGGCUGAAGUAGGUCCCAAGGGUAUGGCUGUUCGCCAUUUAAAGUGGUACGCGAGCUGGGUUUAGAACGUCGUGAGACAGUUCGGUCCCUAUCUGCCGUGGGCGCUGGAGAACUGAGGGGGGCUGCUCCUAGUACGAGAGGACCGGAGUGGACGCAUCACUGGUGUUCGGGUUGUCAUGCCAAUGGCACUGCCCGGUAGCUAAAUGCGGAAGAGAUAAGUGCUGAAAGCAUCUAAGCACGAAACUUGCCCCGAGAUGAGUUCUCCCUGAGACUUAGAGUCUCCUGAAGGAACGUUGAAGACGACGACGUUGAUAGGCCGGGUGUGUAAGCGCAGCGAUGCGUUGAGCUAACCGGUACUAAUGAACCGUGAGGCUUAACCUU